GAGAGAGAUUUCCUGCUCGUGAGCUGAAAGGCAAAGAUUUUUUUUCCCAGCUCCAGUAGUGGCACCUUCUGCUGUCAGAAUUGAUGGUUCAGAUUAUCAAGAUACUUCAGGCUUCAAUACUUAUGCUCCCUUAAUUGAGGCCUUUUUGAUCUGGAGUGGACCCAGUCUCCCAAAUCAGAGCUUUGAAAGAUGACAGCUCCCUUUCCAUGGAUGUUGGAUGCUGGGAUGGAGGGUGUGAGAGCAAGGAGCCCACAUUCCACCCACAAGCCCCAGAGGGAAGCACAGCGAUGCCAGAAACAAGAAGCAAGGAACUCAUUUCACACUCAGGUGAAUUGCAGGAGAUCCCCAAGUGAACCAUCAAGGCACCUCUUACUCUUACAGCUUGAAUUGGCUUUAAAAACAACACUCCCAAUCACUCCUCAUUGGGGUUUUCUUUUGCAUGCAGUCAAUGGAGUCCCCUUAAGAAUUUCUGAGAGUUUUUCUGGAUGCAUGAAUUCAUGGCUUGGGUCCUUUGAGCUUUGCAGGCUGGAAAGGGAUGCUGGAGGCUCAUGCCACGUUUGUUGUUGAGGAUGGCUCAGCCUUGGGAACCCUCGCUGGAUGUGUCCCCAUCCUGGUGGUCUCUGCUCUCAGAAGGGGCAUUGGCUGCAGCUCUUGGCCACAAGCAGCUGGUGAGGUUUGACAGGGACACCAGCCUUGCUACUCAGUGUCUCUCGUGCAGGGAGAGGCAGGCAAAGAACCUCUGU
This 743-nucleotide long non-coding RNA is filed under the name Junco hyemalis (dark-eyed junco). RNAcentral describes it as "lncRNA (ENSJHYG00000016946.1)". The record is from RNAcentral. Lineage: Eukaryota; Metazoa; Chordata; Aves; Passeriformes; Passerellidae.